Molecule: long non-coding RNA, 867 nt
Filed under: Marmota monax (woodchuck)
Lineage: Eukaryota; Metazoa; Chordata; Mammalia; Rodentia; Sciuridae
Source: RNAcentral
AAAGAGGAUUGAAGGCAAUUGGAGGAGAGUAUUAUAUUGUUGCACACAGUUAAGAAUACUUGAAAAACCAGUAAACCUUUCAAAACACUUUCUAAUUCCAGUAUUGGCAUACCCCAAGGAGCUUUAAAUGGGGCCUAUGAAACAGUGAAGGCCAAACUCCCUGGGGGCCUAUCAAAAAACUCCUUAUCAGAAAUUGACCUUUCUGGGCUGGGGAUGUGGCUCAAGCGGUAGCGCGCUCUCCUGGUAUGUGUGGGCCCGGGUUCGAUCCUCAGCACCACAUACGAACAAAGAUGUUGUGUCCGCCGAAAACUAAAAAAAAAAUAAAUAUUAAAAAAAAAAAAAAAAAGAAAUUGACCUUUCUGGCUGGUGAGGUGACACAUGCCUAUAAUCCCAGCAGUUUGGGAGGCUGAGACAGGAGGAUUGCAAGUUCAAAGUCAGCCUCAGCAAAAGUGAGGUGCUAAGCAAUUUAGUGAGACCCUGUACCUAAAUAAAAUACAAAAUAAGUCUGGGGAUGUGGCUCAGUGGUUGAGUGCCCCUGAGUUUAAUCCCCGGUACCCUCCUACCCCACCCCAAAUUGACAUUUCUGCCUGCCUGAACAAUGCUUUCCUGGUAAUUUCCAUUCUCAUGUGGCACCAAAUAUCCCUCCCCUGGCACAUUCAAGACCAUCCUUGCUCCUGGGCCAUUAACUGAGCCAGGUCUCCCUUCACUUCCUGAAGAACUUCUUGUACUUUGGCAAAUUUUGUCUGUCUCUUAGGGUCCUACUCAAAUGCUAGCCAACUUAAAGUCUAGGCCCUGGUAUUAACUCACAUUUAAUUCACAUUCAUUAAACAUUCUACAGUGUGUACUUCCAUACAAAUUAAAUCAUUU